GAUGAACGUUGGCGGCGUGCCUAAUACAUGCAAGUCGAACGAAGACUGUAGUAAUACUGUCUUAGUGGCGAACGGGUGAGUAACGCGUGGGUGACCUGCCCCGAAGUGUGGGAUAACAGUCCGAAAGGAUUGCUAAUACUGCAUAAUAUCCAAGAGAUUAGAUGCUUUUGGAUUAAAGGAGUAAUUCGCUUCGGGAGGGGCCCGCGUCCCAUCAGCUAGUUGGUAAGGUAAUGGCUUACCAAGGCGAUGACGGGUAGGGGACCUGAGAGGGUGGCCCCCCACAAUGGAACUGAAACACGGUCCAUACACCUACGGGUGGCAGCAGUAGGGAAUAUUAGUAAUGGGCGAAAGCCUGAACUAGCAACGCCGCGUGUGCGAAGAAGGCCUUCGGGUCGUAAAGCACUUUUGAGAGGAUGAGGAAGGACGGUACUCUCAGAAUAAGUCUCGGCUAACUACGUG
Molecule: ribosomal RNA, 459 nt
Filed under: uncultured bacterium
Lineage: Bacteria
Description: bacterial SSU rRNA
Rfam family: Bacterial small subunit ribosomal RNA
Source: RNAcentral